Molecule: non-coding RNA, 29 nt
Filed under: Cricetulus griseus (Chinese hamster)
Lineage: Eukaryota; Metazoa; Chordata; Mammalia; Rodentia; Cricetidae
Source: RNAcentral
AGGGACUCUUGUAUGUAAUUUACCACUUU